UACGUAGGAGGCAAGCGUUAUCCGGAAUUACUGGGCGUAAAGGGCGUCUAGGUGGCUGUCCAAGCGGGGUGUGAAAGCUCCUGGCUUAACUGGGAGAGUGCGCUCCGAACUGGGCAGCUGGAGGGCAGGCGACGUGGAUGGAAUACCCGGUGGAGUGGUGAAAUGCGUAGAGAUCGGGUGGAACACCAGUGGCGAAGGCGGUCCACGAGCCUGUGCCUGACACUGAAGCGCGAGAGCGUGGGGAGCAAACGGGAUUAGAUACCCUCGUAGUCC
RNAcentral lists this ribosomal RNA (273 nucleotides) under uncultured bacterium. Its description in RNAcentral is "partial 16S ribosomal RNA". It matches the Rfam family "Bacterial small subunit ribosomal RNA", at positions 524 to 796 of the family's 1533-position model. The record is from RNAcentral.